AAUGAUAAAAAAGAAAAAAAUUCAGAAUCAAUUGAGUUAACUCUUCAAACCUGGGAUUCGUAUAAUGAAAGUUUGAUAACUAAAUAGAA
Molecule: long non-coding RNA, 89 nt
Organism: Populus euphratica (Euphrates poplar)
Lineage: Eukaryota; Viridiplantae; Streptophyta; Magnoliopsida; Malpighiales; Salicaceae
Exons: 2
Source: RefSeq, a predicted model, not a curated record